UUUUAAAAAUUUCAUUCCUUUUUACAAUUAAUAAUGGGUGUAUCGGACAGAAUAACCAGACAGUGACAUAUGACAUGCCACUAGUAUCUUAUGCUAAUAUAUAGGAACUAGUUUUUAACAAUAAAAAUGAAUUAAAUAUUUAAUA
Non-coding RNA from Gossypium hirsutum (cotton), 145 nucleotides. NCBI's taxonomy places the organism in Eukaryota, Viridiplantae, Streptophyta, Magnoliopsida, Malvales, Malvaceae. The record is from Rfam.